GAUGAAGAACGUAGUGAAAUGCGAUAAGUAAUGCGAAUUGCAGAAUUCAGUGAGUCAUCGAAUCUUUGAACGCACAUUGCGCCCUGUGGUAUUCCGCAGGGCAUGCCUGUUCGAGCGUCAUUUCAACCCUCAAGCCCCGCUUGGUGUUGGGCCCCGCCCGCCGUGGCCGGCCCUAAAGACAGUGGCGGCGCCGCCUGGCCCUCAGCGUAGUACAGCUCUCGCUCCAGGGUCCGGCGGCCGCCUGCCAGAACCCCCCAACUCUGUGGUUGACCUCGGAUCAGGUAGGGAUACCCGCUGAACUUAAGCAUAUCAAUAAGCGGAGGA
This 324-nucleotide unclassified non-coding RNA is filed under the name soil metagenome. RNAcentral's name for it is "partial contains 5.8S ribosomal RNA, internal transcribed spacer 2, and large subunit ribosomal RNA". The stretch from base 1 to 120 matches the Rfam family "5.8S ribosomal RNA", at positions 35 to 154 of the family's 154-position model. The record is from RNAcentral.